UGGGGAAUAUUGGACAAUGGGCGCAAGCCUGAUCCAGCAAUGCCGCGUGAGCGAUGAAGGCCUUAGGGUUGUAAAGCUCUUUCAGCUGGGAAGAUAAUGACGGUACCAGCAGAAGAAGCCCCGGCUAACUCCGUGCCAGCAGCCGCGGUAAUACGGAGGGGGCUAGCGUUGUUCGGAAUUACUGGGCGUAAAGCGCACGUAGGCGGAUUAGUCAGUCAGAGGUGAAAUCCCAGGGCUCAACCCUGGAACUGCCUUUGAUACUGCUAGUCUUGAGGUCGAGAGAGGUGAGUGGAAUUCCGAGUGUAGAGGUGAAAUUCGUAGAUAUUCGGAGGAACACCAGUGGCGAAGGCGGCUCACUGGCUCGAUACUGACGCUGAGGUGCGAAAGCGUGGGGAGCAAAACAGGAUUAGAUACCCUGGUAGUCCACGCCGUAAACGAUGAAUGCCAGUCGUCGGGUUGCAUGCAAUUCGGUGACACACCUAACGGAUUAAGCAUUCCGCCUGGGGGAGUACGGUCGCAAGAUUAAAACUUAAAUGAAUUGACGGGGGUCAUAGCUGUUUCCUG
Molecule: ribosomal RNA, 564 nt
Filed under: uncultured bacterium
Lineage: Bacteria
Description: partial 16S ribosomal RNA
Rfam family: Bacterial small subunit ribosomal RNA
Source: RNAcentral